This 406-nucleotide ribosomal RNA is filed under the name uncultured bacterium. Its description in RNAcentral is "bacterial SSU rRNA". It matches the Rfam family "Bacterial small subunit ribosomal RNA", at positions 355 to 776 of the family's 1533-position model. The record is from RNAcentral.
UGAGGGAUAUUGCACAAUGGGCGAAAGCCUGAUGCAGCAACGCCGCGUGAGGGAUGACGGUUUUCGGAUUGUAAACCUCUGUCUUCGGUGACGAAUAAAUGACGGUAACCGGGGAGGAAGCCACGGCUAACUACGUGCCAGCAGCCGCGGUAAUACGUAGGUGGCGAGCGUUGUCCGGAAUUACUGGGUGUAAAGGGAGCGCAGGCGGGACAGCAAGUUGGAUGUGAAAUACCGGAGCUUAACUUCGGAGCUGCAUCCAAAACUGUUGUUCUUGAGUGGAGUAGAGGCAAGCGGAAUUCCGAGUGUAGCGGUGAAAUGCGUAGAUAUUCGGAGGAACACCAGUGGCGAAGGCGGCUUGCUGGGCUCUAACUGACGCUGAGGCUCGAAAGUGUGGGGAGCAAACAGG